This 336-nucleotide ribosomal RNA is filed under the name uncultured eukaryote. Its description in RNAcentral is "partial 18S ribosomal RNA". It matches the Rfam family "Eukaryotic small subunit ribosomal RNA", at positions 1470 to 1796 of the family's 1831-position model. The record is from RNAcentral.
CCCUUAGAUGUUCGGGGCCGCACGCGUGCUACAAUGAGAGACGCAACGUGUGUCCUUCCCCCUUGCCCGAGACGGCUAGGUAAUCAUGACAAAGUCUCUCGUGAUAGGGAUUGGGGCUUGAAAUUGUUCCCCAUGAACGAGGAAUUCCCAGUAAGCGCGAGUCAUAAGCUCGCGUUGAUUACGUCCCUGCCCUUUGUACACACCGCCCGUCGCUACUACCGAUUGAACGGUUUAGUGAGGGCCUCGGAUUGGUCUCGGCCCGCUCUUUACCGGGCGGCGCCGUUGGUCGAGAAGACGCUCGAACUUGAUCGUUUAGAGGAAGUAAAAGUCGUAACA